UACGUAGGUGGCAAGCGUUGUCCGGAUUUACUGGGCGUAAAGAGCGCGCAGGCGGUCGUUCAAGUCGCGUGUGAAAGCCCCCGGCUCAACUGGGGAGGGUCACGCGAUACUGAUCGACUCGAAGGCAGGAGAGGGUAGUGGAAUUCCCGGUGUAGUGGUGAAAUGCGUAGAGAUGCGGAGGAACACCGAUGGCGAAGGCAGCCCCCUGGGCUAACACUGACGCUCAGGCACGAAAGCGUGGGGAGCAAACAGG
This 253-nucleotide ribosomal RNA is filed under the name uncultured bacterium. RNAcentral's name for it is "partial 16S ribosomal RNA". It matches the Rfam family "Bacterial small subunit ribosomal RNA", at positions 524 to 776 of the family's 1533-position model. The record is from RNAcentral.